Molecule: transfer RNA, 73 nt
Filed under: Sus scrofa (pig)
Lineage: Eukaryota; Metazoa; Chordata; Mammalia; Artiodactyla; Suidae
Rfam family: tRNA
About the family: Transfer RNA (tRNA) molecules are approximately 80 nucleotides in length. Their secondary structure includes four short double-helical elements and three loops (D, anti-codon, and T loops).
Source: Rfam by way of RNAcentral
UCUCUGGUGGCCUGGUGGUUAAGGAUUCAGCAUUGUCACUGUUGUUACUCAGGUUCAAGCCCUGGCCUGGGAA